This 657-nucleotide ribosomal RNA is filed under the name uncultured fungus. RNAcentral describes it as "eukaryotic LSU rRNA". It matches the Rfam family "Eukaryotic large subunit ribosomal RNA", at positions 23 to 664 of the family's 3401-position model. Lineage: Eukaryota; Fungi. The record is from RNAcentral.
ACCCGCUGAACUUAAGCAUAUCAAUAAGCGGAGGAAAAGAAACUAACAAGGAUUCCCCUAGUAACUGCGAGUGAAGCGGGAAAAGCUCAAAUUUGAAAUCUGGUAGUCUUCGAUUGCCCGAGUUGUAAUCUAGAGAAGUGUUACCCGCGUUGGACCGUGUACAAGUCUCCUGGAAUGGAGCGUCAUAGAGGGUGAGAAUCCCGUCUUUGACACGGACUGCCAAGGCUUUGUGGUGCGCUCUCAAAGAGUCGAGUUGUUUGGGAAUGCAGCUCAAAAUGGGUGGUAAAUGCCAUCUAAAGCUAAAUACAGGCGAGAGACCGAUAGCGAACAAGUACCGUGAGGGAAAGAUGAAAAGAACUUUGGAAAGAGAGUUAAACAGUACGUGAAAUUGCUGAAAGGGAAACGCUUGAAGUCAGUCGCGUUGGCUGGGAAUCAACCUUGCUUUUGCUUGGUGUACUUUCUAGUUAACGGGUCAGCAUCAGUUUUGAUCAGUGGAUAAAGGCAUGAGAAAUGUGGCUUCCUCGGAAGUGUUAUAGUCUUGUGUUGUAUACAUUGGUUGGGACUGAGGAACUCAGCACGCCGCAAGGCCGGGGUUCGCCCACGUUCGUGCUUAGGAUGCUGGCAAAAUGGCUUUAAUCGACCCGUCUUGAAACACGG